GCCGGUAUAGCUCAGUUGGUAGAGCACCUGUCUUGUAAACAGGAGGUCAGGGGUUCGAGGCCCCUUGCCGGCU
Molecule: transfer RNA, 73 nt
Filed under: Amycolatopsis xylanica
Lineage: Bacteria; Bacillati; Actinomycetota; Actinomycetes; Pseudonocardiales; Pseudonocardiaceae
Rfam family: tRNA
About the family: Transfer RNA (tRNA) molecules are approximately 80 nucleotides in length. Their secondary structure includes four short double-helical elements and three loops (D, anti-codon, and T loops). Further hydrogen bonds mediate the characteristic L-shaped molecular structure. tRNAs have two regions of fundamental functional importance: the anti-codon, which is responsible for specific mRNA codon recognition, and the 3' end, to which the tRNAs corresponding amino acid is attached (by aminoacyl-tRNA synthetases). tRNAs cope with the degeneracy of the genetic code in two manners: having more than one tRNA (with a specific anti-codon) for a particular amino acid; and 'wobble' base-pairing, i.e. permitting non-standard base-pairing at the 3rd anti-codon position.
Source: Rfam by way of RNAcentral